This 253-nucleotide ribosomal RNA is filed under the name uncultured bacterium. RNAcentral's name for it is "partial 16S ribosomal RNA". It matches the Rfam family "Bacterial small subunit ribosomal RNA", at positions 524 to 776 of the family's 1533-position model. The record is from RNAcentral.
UACAGAGGGGGCAAGCGUUAUUCGGAAUUAUUGGGCGUAAAGGGCGCGUAGGCGGCUUGGCAAGUGGAAGGUGAAAUCCCUCGGCUCAACUGAGGAACUGCCUUCCAGACUGCUUUGCUUGAGUCCGGGAGAGGUGAGUGGAAUUCCCAGUGUAGCGGUGAAAUGCGUAGAGAUCAGGAAGAACACCGGUGGCGAAAGCGCUCUGCUAGGCCGCAACUGACACUGAGGGACGAAAGCUAGGGGAGCGAAUGGG